This is a long non-coding RNA of Megalobrama amblycephala (Wuchang bream), 480 nucleotides long. RefSeq lists it as uncharacterized. The record is from RefSeq and is a predicted model, not a curated record. NCBI's taxonomy places the organism in Eukaryota, Metazoa, Chordata, Actinopteri, Cypriniformes, Xenocyprididae. The transcript is spliced from 3 exons.
CAAGCCAAACAGUUUGAGCAAGAAGUCCAUAACUCAAUCAACUGUGCCACCUGCUGGUUGAUAAAGGAAGUGCAUGGUAAAGCAGUGUUCCAGACCUCCGGGAUGACGGCCAUCGGAGGUCAUGACUGUGCCGCUGCAGGGCCCUCUGACACAUGGUUUCAGGGGAAGAGGGACAUCCUGAGUGAUCAUGUGAUGAGGGGAAAAUGAGUAACUCUUCUGAAGGGUUGGAAUAGCAGGGUUCACCCUAUCAGACAGACAGCACCAGCUCCACAUGACAAGCUGCAUUACCCUCAGCUUCCUCACGGCGUUAAGGACAGAUGCAGCCAUGACAGAAUCAGCUAGCAUCCUCAGACUGACCUCUGCUGGACAUUUACCGAUGGCGAGCAAAACAAAUGCAAGCAUGCACUAAAUCAGGUUGCUUGACAGGUCGCAUUACACUUAAACAGCAAGAUUGCAUCAUCACUCCUAUUUAGUUUCAAA